GAUGAACGCUGGCGGCGUGCCUAAUACAUGCAAGUCGAGCGGACAGACGAGAAGCUUGCUUCUCUUAUGUUAGCGGCGGACGGGUGAGUAACGCGUGGAUAACCUACCUAUCAGCCUGGGAUAACUUCGGGAAACCGGAGCUAAUACCGGAUAAUAUUUUGAACCGCAUGGUUCAAGAGUGAAAGACGGUCUUGCUGUCACUUAAAGAUGUAUCAGCGCUGCGUUGGCUAGUUGGUAAGGUAACGGCUUACCAAGGCAACGAUGCAUAGCCGACCUGAGAGGGGGAUGGGCGACAGUGGAACUGUGACACGGUCCAGACUCCUACGGGAGGCACAAGUAGGGAAUCGUGGGCAAUGGGCGAAAGCUUGACGGAGCAGCGCCGGGUGAGUGAUGAAGGUCUUCGGAUGGGAAAACUCUGUUAUUGGGGAAGAACAUAUGUGUAAGUAACUGUGCACAUCUUGACGGUACCUAAUCAGAAAGCCACGGCUAACUACGUG
Molecule: ribosomal RNA, 497 nt
Filed under: uncultured bacterium
Lineage: Bacteria
Description: partial 16S ribosomal RNA
Rfam family: Bacterial small subunit ribosomal RNA
Source: RNAcentral